Molecule: long non-coding RNA, 1104 nt
Filed under: Gallus gallus (chicken)
Lineage: Eukaryota; Metazoa; Chordata; Aves; Galliformes; Phasianidae
Description: lncRNA (ENSGALG00010000780.1)
Source: RNAcentral
AAAUGGGGUGACAUUGGUGGCCAUGGGGUGGCAAUAGGGUGUCACUGAUGGCCAUGGGGUGGCAAUAGGGUGACACUGGUGGCCAUGGGGUGGCAGUGGGAUGGCAGUGGUGGCCAUGGGGUGGCAUUGGUGGCGAUGGGGUGGCAAUAGGGUGACACUGAUGGCCAUGGGGUGGCAAUGGGGUGGCACUGAUGGCUGUGGGGUGGCAUUGGUGGCCAUGGGGUGGCAAUAGGGUGACACUGAUGGCCAUGGGGUGGCCAUAGGGUGGCCAUGGGGUGGCAUUGGUGGGCAUGGGGUGGCACUGGUGGCCAUAGGGUGGCCAUGGGGUGGCAAUAGGGUGACAUUGAUGGCCAUGGGGUGGCAGUAGGGUGACACUGAUGGCCAUGGGGUGGCAAUAGGGUGACUCCGGUGGCCAUGGGGUGGCAUUGGUGACCAUGGGGUGGCAAUAGGGUGACACUGAUGGCCAUGGGGUGGCAGUGGGUGACACUGAUGGCUGUGGGGUGGCAAUAGGGUGACACUGGUGGCCAUGGGGUGGCAAUAGGGUGGCACUGAUGGCAAUGGGGUGGCAAUAGGGUGACACUGAUGGCCAUGGGGUGGCAUUGGUGGCCAUGGGGUGGCAAUAGGGUGGCACUGAUGGCAAUGGGGAGGCCAUGGGUGGCCAUGGAGUGGCAAUAGGGUGGCACUGGUGGCCAUGGGGUGGCAAUGGUGGCCAUGGGGUGGCUAUAGGGUGACACUGGUGACACUGAUGGCCAUAGGGGGGCAGUAGGGUGACACUGAUGGCUGUGGGGUGGCAAUAGGGUGACACUGAUGGCCAUGGGGUGGCAAUAGGGUGACACUGAUGGCCAUGGGGUGGCAAUAGAGUGACUCCGGUGGCCAUGGGGUGGCAUUGGUGGGCAUGGGGUGGCAAUAGGGUGACACUGGUGGCCAUGGGGUGACACUGGUGGCCAUGGGGUGGCAGUGGGUGACACUGGCGGCCAUGGGGUGGCAGUAGGGUGGCACUGAUGGCCAUGGGGUGGCAUUGGUGGCCAUGGGGUGGCAAUAGGGCGACACUGAUGGCCAUGGGGUGGCAAUAGGGUGACACUGAUGGCCAUGGGGUGGCACUGG